Molecule: microRNA precursor, 59 nt
Filed under: Daphnia pulex (common water flea)
Lineage: Eukaryota; Metazoa; Arthropoda; Branchiopoda; Diplostraca; Daphniidae
Description: Dpu-Mir-2-o2_pre stem-loop
Source: RNAcentral
AGAUGAUUUUAUCUGUGAUGUGCUAAUUUUCAUGACAUAUCACAGACACAAUUAUCUGA